RNAcentral lists this ribosomal RNA (105 nucleotides) under Anolis carolinensis (green anole). The record is from RNAcentral. Lineage: Eukaryota; Metazoa; Chordata; Lepidosauria; Squamata; Anolidae.
GCCUACAGCCAUACCACCCUGAACACGCCCGAUCUCGGAAGCUAAGCAGGGUCGGGCCUGGUUAGUAGGCUUGAGCGAUCCACGAAAAAAUUGAUUCUAAACUCU